AAUGCACCUUGCGCCCCUUGGCAUUCCGAGGGGUACACCCGUUUGAGUGUCGUGACAUCCUCAAACCUUCUCGGUUUCUUGACCGGAGAAGGGCUUGGACUUUGGAGGCAAUUAUGCUGGCUUUGUUCGAAGCCAGCUCCUCUUAAAUGGAUUAGUGGGGUCCCCUUUGCGGCUCCCUUGGCGUGAUAAGAUGCUUCUACGUCUUGGGACAGGCUCUUGUGACCUGCUUCUAACCGUCUCAUGAGAGACAUUCUGAUCGGGUUUGCCACCUUUCGCGGGGUGGGUAAGCUUGGCCCAGAAACCUUGACCUCAAAUCGGGUGAGACUACCCGCUGAACUUAA
This 341-nucleotide ribosomal RNA is filed under the name uncultured Russula. Its description in RNAcentral is "eukaryotic LSU rRNA". The record is from RNAcentral. Lineage: Eukaryota; Fungi; Basidiomycota; Agaricomycetes; Russulales; Russulaceae.